This 549-nucleotide ribosomal RNA is filed under the name uncultured bacterium. Its description in RNAcentral is "bacterial SSU rRNA". It matches the Rfam family "Bacterial small subunit ribosomal RNA", at positions 777 to 1325 of the family's 1533-position model. The record is from RNAcentral.
AAUAGAUACCCGGGUAGUCCACGCCGUAAACGAUGAGUGCUAAGUGUUGGGGGGUUUCCGCCCCUCAGUGCUGCAGCUAACGCAUUAAGCACUCCGCCUGGGGAGUACGGUCGCAAGACUGAAACUCAAAGGAAUUGACGGGGGCCCGCACAAGCGGUGGAGCAUGUGGUUUAAUUCGAAGCAACGCGAAGAACCUUACCAGGUCUUGACAUCCCGGUGACCACUAUGGAGACAUAGUUUCCCCUUCGGGGGCAACGGUGACAGGUGGUGCAUGGUUGUCGUCAGCUCGUGUCGUGAGAUGUUGGGUUAAGUCCCGCAACGAGCGCAACCCUUAUUCUUAGUUGCCAUCAUUCAGUUGGGCACUCUAAGGAGACUGCCGGUGAUAAACCGGAGGAAGGUGGGGAUGACGUCAAAUCAUCAUGCCCCUUAUGACCUGGGCUACACACGCGCUACAAUGGACGGUACAAACGGUUGCCAACCCGCGAGGGGAGCUAAUCCGAUAAAACCGUUCUCAGUUCGGAUUGUAGGCUGCAACUCGCCUACAUGAAC